AUUGAACGCUGGCGGCAGGCCUAACACAUGCAAGUCGAACGGUAACAGGAAGCAGCUUGCUGUUUCGCUGACGAGUGGCGGACGGGUGAGUAAUGUCUGGGAAACUGCCUGACGGAGGGGGAUAACUACUGGAAACGGUAGCUAAUACCGCAUAACGUCGCAAGACCAAAGAGGGGGACCUUCGGGCCUCUUGCCAUCGGAUGUGCCCAGAUGGGAUUAGCUUGUUGGUGGGGUAACGGCUCACCAAGGCGACGAUCCCUAGCUGGUCUGAGAGGGUGGCCAGCCACACUGGAACGGAGACACGGUCCAGACGCCUACGGGAGGCAGCAGUGGGGAAUAUUGCACAAUGGGCGCAAGCCUGAUGCAGCCAUGCCGGGUGUAUGAAGAAGGCCUUCGGGUUGUAAAGUACUUUCAGCGGGGAGGAAGGGAGUAAAGUUAAUACCUUUACUCAUUGACGUUACCCGCAGAAGAAGCACCGGCUAACUCCGUGCCAGCCGCCGCCGUAA
Molecule: ribosomal RNA, 506 nt
Filed under: uncultured bacterium
Lineage: Bacteria
Description: partial 16S ribosomal RNA
Rfam family: Bacterial small subunit ribosomal RNA
Source: RNAcentral